This 253-nucleotide ribosomal RNA is filed under the name uncultured bacterium. RNAcentral describes it as "partial 16S ribosomal RNA". It matches the Rfam family "Bacterial small subunit ribosomal RNA", at positions 524 to 776 of the family's 1533-position model. The record is from RNAcentral.
UACGGAGGGUGCAAGCGUUGUUCGGAAUUACUGGGCGUAAAGAGUGCGUAGGCGGUUCGGCAAGUUGGAAGUGGAAUCCCGGGGCUCAACCUCGGAAUUGCUUUCAAAACUGCCGAUCUAGAGUAUGGUAGGGGAUAGUGGAAUUCUUAGUGUAGGGGUGAAAUGCGCAGAUAUCAGGAGGAACACCGGUGGCGAAGGCGGGUCUCUGGGUAACAACUGACGCUGAGGAGCGAAAGCGUGGGGAGCGAACAGG